Molecule: transfer RNA, 89 nt
Filed under: Conexibacter woesei DSM 14684
Lineage: Bacteria; Bacillati; Actinomycetota; Thermoleophilia; Solirubrobacterales; Conexibacteraceae
Also listed under: 6 other names
Description: tRNA-Ser (GGA) (tRNA-Ser-GGA-1-1)
Rfam family: tRNA
About the family: Transfer RNA (tRNA) molecules are approximately 80 nucleotides in length. Their secondary structure includes four short double-helical elements and three loops (D, anti-codon, and T loops).
Source: Rfam by way of RNAcentral
GGAGAGGUGCCGGAGCGGCUGAACGGGCACGACUGGAAAUCGUGUGACCGGGGUAACUCGGUCCGAGGGUUCGAAUCCCUCUCUCUCCG